RNAcentral lists this ribosomal RNA (433 nucleotides) under Staphylococcus aureus. RNAcentral's name for it is "bacterial SSU rRNA". It matches the Rfam family "Bacterial small subunit ribosomal RNA", at positions 1 to 423 of the family's 1533-position model. Lineage: Bacteria; Bacillati; Bacillota; Bacilli; Caryophanales; Staphylococcaceae. The record is from RNAcentral.
UUUAUGGAGAGUUUGAUCCUGGCUCAGGAUGAACGCUGGCGGCGUGCCUAAUACAUGCAAGUCGAGCGAACGGACGAGAAGCUUGCUUCUCUGAUGUUAGCGGCGGACGGGUGAGUAACACGUGGAUAACCUACCUAUAAGACUGGGAUAACUUCGGGAAACCGGAGCUAAUACCGGAUAAUAUUUUGAACUGCAUGGUUCAAAAGUGAAAGACGGUCUUGCUGUCACUUAUAGAUGGAUCCGCGCUGCAUUAGCUAGUUGGUAAGGUAACGGCUUACCAAGGCAACGAUGCAUAGCCGACCUGAGAGGGUGAUCGGCCACACUGGAACUGAGACACGGUCCAGACUCCUACGGGAGGCAGCAGUAGGGAAUCUUCCGCAAUGGGCGAAAGCCUGACGGAGCAACGCCGCGUGAGUGAUGAAGGUCUUCGGAU